GACGAACACUGGCGGCGCGCCUAACACAUGCAAGUCGAACGAGCGAGCGAGAGCUUGCUUUCUUGGGCGAGUGGCGAACGGGUGAGUAACGCGUGAGGAACCUGCCUCAAAGAGGGGGACAACAGUUGGAAACGACUGCUAAUACCGCAUAAGCCCACGGUGCCGCAUGGCACAGAGGGAAAAGGAGCAAUCCGCUUUGAGAUGGCCUCGCGUCCGAUUAGCUAGUUGGUGAGGUAACGGCCCACCAAGGCGACGAUCGGUAGCCGGACUGAGAGGUUGAACGGCCACAUUGGGACUGAGACACGGCCCAGACUCCUACGGGAGGCAGCAGUGGGGAAUAUUGCACAAUGGGGGAAACCCUGAUGCAGCGACGCCGCGUGGAGGAAGAAGGUCUUCGGAUUGUAAACUCCUGUUGUUGGGGAAGAUAAUGACGGUACCCAACAAGGAAGUGACGGCUAACUACGUG
Molecule: ribosomal RNA, 466 nt
Filed under: uncultured bacterium
Lineage: Bacteria
Description: partial 16S ribosomal RNA
Rfam family: Bacterial small subunit ribosomal RNA
Source: RNAcentral